This 432-nucleotide ribosomal RNA is filed under the name uncultured bacterium. RNAcentral describes it as "bacterial SSU rRNA". It matches the Rfam family "Bacterial small subunit ribosomal RNA", at positions 338 to 787 of the family's 1533-position model. The record is from RNAcentral.
CCUACGGGGGGCAGCAGUGGGGAAUAUUGCACAAUGGGGGAAACCCUGAUGCAGCGACGCCGCGUGAGUGAAGAAGUGUUUCGGCACGUAAAGCUCUGUCAGCAGGGAAGAAAAUGACGGUACCUGACCAAGAAGCCCCGGCUAACUACGUGCCAGCAGCCGCGGUAAUACGUAGGGGGCAAGCGUUAUCCGGAUUUACUGGGUGUAAAGGGAGCGCAGACGGCAGCGCAAGUCCGGGGUGAAAGCCCGCGGCCCAACCGCGGGACUGCCCUGGAAACUGUGCGGCUGGAGUGCCGGAGAGGUAAGCGGAAUUCCUAGUGUAGCGGUGAAAUGCGUAGAUAUUAGGAGGAACACCAGUGGCGAAGGCGGCUUACUGGACGGUAACUGACGUUGAGGCUCGAAAGCGUGGGGAGCAAACAGGAUUAGAUACCC